CGCCGCGCUCCGGCAUCCCUCCAAAUCAAUCGCUCCGAUUGGAAGGUCGCCAUCCCUCUCUUGUCCCCCCUCGUCUCUCCUUCUUCCUCUCCCAAAGAUAUCCACAGUUGGAGUACCCCCGAUUCAAGACAACCUUCCUCAACUACUUCUUCUUCUUCUCAUCAUCAUCACCUUCUUCAUCACCAUCACCAUCAUAAAGAAUCCGACCCGGAGAAGGCGCCGGUCUUCAAGAAAUGGCAGCAUCCGGCGGCUCCAUUUCAUUACGAUUCCGGUGCUAGGGCUCCCAGAUUUGUACCCGUUUAGAUUUUUGUUUUAUAUUCAAAGAAAAUAAAAUCUCUUGAAUUUGAUCUGUAGAUCUAACGCUCUCAGUUUGAGGAGCUUAUUGACUGCAACUUAUGCUUAACCACACUCGAAUAUUUGUACAUUGCUUUUCUUGUUAUUUAUGAAUUGCUCACAUCACUCAUUACUCAUUACAGUACUUAACGUUUUGAUUGAAAGUCACAUUUGUUAAUCAAUCAUUAUUUACGUGUCGUACUACCAACGCCAUUUUAUUUUCCACUAAUAUUCAUUCUUAUCAUCUAUCCAAUUAUAUUUUUAACUAAUUUUUCUACUUCCUUCAAUUUUCAAAAAUCACACAUUUAUUCAUUUAUUUGUUAAAUAAUUUCAAAUUAAAUAAUUGAACUAAAUUUAUGCACAUUUUCAAAUGAACCAAAAUAGAUAGUGAGACAUUGAUACACAGAAUAUGAAGAUUUGUCAUUUACGAUGCUAAUUGAACCAUCCUCUAUCAAAGUUAAGGUAUAAAUUGGUAUUAUUUUUGUUUUUUCAUGUAUUUGUGUUAUUUAAUUUUAAAAGAGAAAGGAAGGCACAAGCACAAUGGUAUUUUUAGUUUAUCCAAUACUUCUUCUUACCUAAUAUUUACUUUAACUAACACAUACCUCUUUAUUUUAUGUACAUCUCAUCCAUCUACCUUCUACCUGCUGGAUUACUUUCAAUACAAUUAUGGAAAAUAUCAAAAUUUUAAUUUUAUGUCUAAUAAAAAUAUUAAUUCAAUGUGUUCUCCAUUUUUCAUUUUUAUAUUUUCUUUUAAUAAAUCAUUAUAACUAUUAAAAUAUUUAAUUAAUGUAUUCUUAAAUAUGUACGGCUUAUUUACCUGGGUUCUUUUAUUUUCUCUAUUUAAUCUCUUUACUAUUCUAAUAUUUUAGACAUAAUAUCAAAUAGAAAAUCUCCUUUUAAAAAAUCAAAUCAAAUUUUAAAUUAAAAAUGAAUACAAUUUUAAAAAGUUUUAAUAUAAGGUGUGAAACCAUAAAUGAAUGGGGGUCACAUUUUUUAAAACGUACCUUUUCAAAUCUGUUUCAAUUUUUAUAUUUGAAAAUUUUUCAAUAAUUUAUUUUUUACUAACUGUUCAUCUCUAUUAUGCAAAACUAUUAAUUACUUUGAACAGUUUACUUAACCCACUAGAUUUAUUGCUAUGUUGACUAAAUUAUUAAAAUUUAAUAAAGUUGGCCAAAGUAAUGGUAUUGACGUUAUCUUUAUUACUAAAAUUCUUUAGUUUAAUCUCUCAUCCUACACUUAUAUACUAAAUAAUUAUAAGUUAACUUAAUGGAAUUUUUUAAGAUAGAGAAAAAUAAAAUUGUAAUUACUUUGUUUUUACUAUGGGAACUGAGUGGAAGGGAGAUGGUAAAAUGAAGAAUAAUUGAGAGAUGAUUGGAUGAUAUUUGUUAUAACUUAUACAAAUGGACUCUUCUUUAUAAAUAAUUUUUUAAUGUCCUAAGCUAGACAUCACAUCAUUUUAAUAUAUGAUUGUGACAGAACAUGUUAAAAUAGUAUCCUAUGCUACAAUAGUAUAAAAAUAAUUGUUAAAAUCCUUCCUAUAGUUCACUUUUUUUGUUUGCAAAUUCUUUUCUAUUGUAUUCCUAAUAUUUGGGUUUGAUAGAAAUUCUAGAGUUUUGUUAUGUUUAUAAAUUUCUUCUAAUAGUUUUGCUAAUGAAUGAAAUUGAAAUUUUGUUUUUUUUUUUUAAAAAAGAUACUGUUGAUUUGGCAGAAGCACUUAAUACAUCUUUAUUAGGUGGACACCCCUUAGCAUUCUUAUCAUUCUUGUUUCAUUAGUAAUCAACUAAGAUAGUACAAGAAGCAAAAAAAUACAAGAAGGAGGGCUAGAAGAUAAGCACGAUACAAGUGACGAAAAGGGCUAAACAAUAGAAUUGUGAUUGUAAUUAGCAAAAAGCUUGAUCUAGUGGACCAAAAAGACCCGUGAGAGCACAAACAUCAUCCCAAAUCUCACAUGUGGAUCUUUCCUUUCCUUUGAAGAUUCUGUGAUUUCUUUCCAACCAAAUUGACCACAAUAAUGCAUGUAACAAAAAAGUUGAAAGUGAUAGCCCCUCUUUUGUUCAUUUGAUUUAUGGAACAAAUCUCUUUACAUAAACAAUUAACAUUGUCGUGUGUAUUCUGCCAAUGUAUCAAAGUUCCAACCCUGUUCCAAACUUUUUGGAAAGUUUUCGCAAGAGAUGAAAAUGUGAUAUAAGGUUUUUGAUUUUCUUUUGCAAGGAUAGCACCAAUUCGAAUUGAGGCGCCAACUUGAAAGGUGCUUUUGAAGUUUGUCAGAAGUGUUUUAAUGCAUUCAUAAAAGGAGAGUCCAGAUGAAGAACUUACAUUUCUUUGGAAUGCUAGACUUCCGAAUUCAGCUUCCAUAAGGGUUUAUCAGCUCCACUGUUAACGAUCGGGUAAACAAGGAAAGAUUGAGCUCAUUUAGAUGUUGAAAAUCAAGAGGCUUGUGAGAGGUUUUCUUGGUUGAAUAUCUCAAUCCUUAGUAUUUGUAUUCCACAAAUCAUUUACAUGUUGAAAAUCGAGUCCUAAGUAUCUGCUGUUUUUUUUUUUUUUUUUUAUGUUGUUAAAAUAUAGAAAUGAAAGUAAAUGAUUAAGAGUGCGUUUGAAUUAUCUAUGGAAAAAAAUGUUUUUCAAAAAUACAUUUUCUUUUUCUUAACACUCAAACGUUGUAGGGUCGAACAAAUUGUCUUGUGAGAUUAGUACUUAAGGUAUGCGUAAGCUGCUCAUACACUUAAAAAAAACUUUUUCUUUAAAUAAGUUUAAAAUUUAACCACUUACAUGUUUGAUUAUAUUAGAUCUUUAUCCAUAUUUGAUUAUAUUAGAUCUUUUUAUAGGUGUUUAUAUACAUAAUUUUCUCAAAUUUUGGUUGUUUUUUUUAAAAUGAAUUAUUUUUUAAUCUCAUUCUUCAAAAAUGCAUUUUCAAAAGAAACACAUCAAAAAAAUUUAAAUGGUUUAUUUUUCAAAUUUAAACAUUAAGUCAAUGCUAUUUUACAUCUCUAAUCCGCUGAAAAAAAUGUCAUUUUCUUUGAUUAAUUUUCACUUGUUUGAAAAUAUUUUAAUACCUAAUUAAAAAAUUCUAAAGAAAUUAUAAGGCAAAAUGAUAACUUAAUUUACAAAAUUGGAUUUUUUCAAAAAUAAAAAAUUAACAAAUUAUAUAGACUCACGUAAACAAAACCACUACAAAAUUUUGUAUGAAAUGAAAUAUGAUUUUGUCACUGAGUAAGGAUUGAUUUUAAAUUUCACCAAUUUAGUUUACAUUUAAUACUUAAUUUCAACCUUAUAUAUACAUACAUACUUUAAAGGAAAAUCAUUAAAAUGUUCGAUUCAAUUUAAGAUAUAAAAUUGUUCUAUUCAAUAAAAAUAUAUGACUACUUAAGGUUUUUCGUUGGGUAAUCAUCUCAACUUUUUGUUUUUGUUUUCUUUGUUUAUUUAAAACAAACUUGGAAAGAAAGAAAGAAUAAAUCUGGAGCUAAAGCUUGCAAAUAAAACAGUAGAGAAGAUUUGUUAAAGUAGAAAAAACAAUAAGGCAACAAGACAUGUACGAAGAAGAUCAAAAGGGAAGAAGAAGAAAUACUCAGAAUUAUAGUGGCAUGGUUCCAUGAUAUUUCACCUACAUCCACUCUCAAGAAGGCAGCAACACAAGAACUUCAUUCACCGGGUGGGUUUAAUUUUCAAAAACCACAGCAGUAGUAGACUCACAUAAACUUUUUAUUUUCUCUCAGAUUUUAGGGAGUGAAAUUUCUAAGCAUUCUCUACGAAAUUUCUAACUUGUUUUUCUUCUAUUUAUAAGUAACUCAUGUACUGAAGGCUGCAGAAACAAAUUAAUAACUGUGCUACAAGUUUUCAGUUACUAAUCCACAUAAGAUAGAUUGCUUCAAUUGAUUCUAAUUAAGAUAGAACCCAUACUCUCAAACAAAAGAGAAGUUUAGGGAUUUUUUUAUCCCUUUAAUGAUCCCCAUAAGUUUGCUUUAUGUGUCCACAAAGUUUUUGAUGUCAACAACGUCACUAAGAUGCUCAUGGCAAAAACCCUAAUCAAACUUUUUUUUCUUCCUUAUUCUCAAUGUGGAAAAACAAAAUAGGGAGAGAGUUUUUAGAAUUGAAAAUGAUGGAAGAGAGUUGGGAGAAAUGAGAGAAAUACACCUAAAUGAAAAUAUUUUUGAGAAAGGUUAAAGGAGAGAGAAACGACAAGCGUUGCAGUACAUAUAAAACAAAAAACGAAAAUGAGAUUGACCACUGUCUUAAGAUUCCCAAAUUUGAGGUGGGUUCUAC
Molecule: long non-coding RNA, 4593 nt
Filed under: Cucumis sativus (cucumber)
Lineage: Eukaryota; Viridiplantae; Streptophyta; Magnoliopsida; Cucurbitales; Cucurbitaceae
Description: long non-coding RNA (CSAT_LNC000624)
Source: RNAcentral